Oryzias melastigma (Indian medaka) is the source of this 804-nucleotide long non-coding RNA. RefSeq lists it as uncharacterized. Lineage: Eukaryota; Metazoa; Chordata; Actinopteri; Beloniformes; Adrianichthyidae. The transcript has 2 exons. The record is from RefSeq and is a predicted model, not a curated record.
AGGCCCACUGCUCUAGGAAAUAUUAUCAAGCCAAAUCCACUAGUAAUCUGCUCAAAAUUCAAUAAAUUAAUAAAGCUACUUUGACAAAAUCUGGGGAUUGCCUUCAUUUUUUUUUAUUUUUACAUGUUUUCUUAGAAAUCGUCAUAUCAGCUGAAAAUGGUGCCCGUGUCCUCCUCCGCCAAGCUGAAAUCUCAACAACAGCAUCCCAUCUCACCUUUUUACCAUCAUUCUGACACACAACGUUUAAAAUCCGAUUGAAUUUGUGCUGCUAUAUCAACUAAAUCCCAAUCACAAUCUUAAACGUCUCAUUUUUCCUCAUCAUUUCAGUGUUGCUGUGGGCCGCCAGAUCCUGCCACACCCCAACCCUUUGUUUGAGUCUUGGUAAAAAGAGGAGAAAUGGAAAAAAAACAACCGAAACGCACCCUAAAGGAAGAGGGACCAGAUUCCAGCCUUUCACAAAUGCUCACACAAGCUGGACUAACCCAACAAACAUCUCUGGUAUAAAUGCGUCCCAAGAGACUUGCAGAACCCCCUCCAGCUCAAACAGAUUGAUCCUAAAUCCAUUGAUGCUGCCUGGAUGUGGCGUCAAAGUCAAGGCUAUGCCCUGCAGACCUUGUGGCCAGCAUAUCUAUCAGUUAGAUCGCUGAGAUGAUGACUUUCUGGAAACCGGGAGAAGAUAAAACACCGACAAUGCACAUCUGAACAUAUAAAGCCGCUUCCCUCUUCUUUUUCUUUCUUCUUUUGUGAACUCCUGUGUUCUUCCUUGUUGCAACAGUCUGUCAAUAAACCCACGUCUUAUUCUUU